UGCUGGUUUCUGCCGCAGUGAUAUUCCAACGUAGUGGUUAUCACCGGGUGAAAACUGGUAGA
This 62-nucleotide microRNA precursor is filed under the name Caenorhabditis briggsae. Its description in RNAcentral is "Cbr-Mir-36-o2_pre stem-loop". It matches the Rfam family "mir-36 microRNA precursor family", at positions 24 to 85 of the family's 103-position model. The record is from RNAcentral. Lineage: Eukaryota; Metazoa; Nematoda; Chromadorea; Rhabditida; Rhabditidae.